RNAcentral lists this unclassified non-coding RNA (518 nucleotides) under Hevea brasiliensis (rubber tree). Lineage: Eukaryota; Viridiplantae; Streptophyta; Magnoliopsida; Malpighiales; Euphorbiaceae. The record is from RNAcentral.
AAGGCAUGAUAUCGACUUGCUCUAGAAUAUUCUCUAGUGGCCUUCUCACAGUCAACAAACCUACACAUACCACUAGAGCUCGAACACUCAUCCAUCGUCUCUCCGGUUAUUGCUUUCAGCUUCGGGCAAUGGCUGACUCCGCUACUCCAUUCAAGAAAGUUCAGAUUCAAAGGGAUGAUACUACAUUUGAUGCCUAUGUAAUUGGAAAAGACGAUGCCCCUGGAAUUGUUGUGCUUCAGGAGUGGUGGGGUGUUGAUUUUGAGAUAAAAAACCAUGCAGAGAAAAUUUCUCAAUUUGAUUCUGGUUUUAAGGCACUUAUCCCUGAUUUGUAUCGUGGAAAAGUUGGCUUAGAUGUUGCAGAAGCACAACAUCUGAUGGAUGGUCUUGACUGGCAAGGGGCUGUCAAAGAUAUUCAGGCUUCAGUUAAUUGGCUAAAGUCAAAUGGAUCCAAAAAGGUUGGAGUUACUGGAUACUGCAUGGGUGGUGCUCUUGCGAUUGCAAGUUCUGUUUUGGUCCCA